GCCCUGUUCGUUUCGUGGUCGCCAGCGUCAGCGACCAGAGUCAGCGACCAGCGACUGCGACAUGAUGUCGCUGACAGUUGUUCGUUUGAAGGUCGCGCGAUUGAUCGCAGCGGUUGUCGCUAUGUUGUUCGUUUUUAUGUCGCGCGAUUGAUCGCAGCGGUUGUCGCUGUGCUGUUCGUUUCUGUAUCGCUGGCGACCAAAUAUUUACUUUUGACAUACAUUUGCUCUUGUGUAUUUAGGUUUCGUCAAAAACGUGGCUAAAUCAUUAAAACUGUAAAGUGUAAUAAAUCACACCAUGGAUGCAAUAUAUUUAAUCGUUUCAG
Molecule: long non-coding RNA, 323 nt
Filed under: Brassica rapa (field mustard)
Lineage: Eukaryota; Viridiplantae; Streptophyta; Magnoliopsida; Brassicales; Brassicaceae
Description: long non-coding RNA (BRAP_LNC006547)
Source: RNAcentral